GUCUCUUCGGAGACAUCCGAUAAAACUAGAACAAUAUAAAGAAUAUUAGCAUGGCCGGACGCGAGAAUGACACGCACAAAAAAAGAAUUGUAUGCUUGUGUG
This is a small nuclear RNA of Phragmites australis (common reed), 102 nucleotides long. The record is from RefSeq and is a predicted model, not a curated record. Lineage: Eukaryota; Viridiplantae; Streptophyta; Magnoliopsida; Poales; Poaceae.